Molecule: transfer RNA, 74 nt
Filed under: Cordylochernes scorpioides
Lineage: Eukaryota; Metazoa; Arthropoda; Arachnida; Pseudoscorpiones; Chernetidae
Description: tRNA-Glu
Source: RNAcentral
AUCUCACGCCGGGAAUCGAACCUAGGCCUCCAGGGUGAGAGCCAGGUAUCCUAGCCACUAGACCACAUGGUAGA